This 253-nucleotide ribosomal RNA is filed under the name uncultured bacterium. RNAcentral describes it as "partial 16S ribosomal RNA". It matches the Rfam family "Bacterial small subunit ribosomal RNA", at positions 524 to 776 of the family's 1533-position model. The record is from RNAcentral.
UACGGAGGGUGCGAGCGUUAAUCGGAAUUACUGGGCGUAAAGUGUGCGCAGGCGGCAGAGCAAGUCGAGUGUGAAAGCCCCGGGCUUAACUUGGGAAUUGCGCUCGAAACUACUUUGCUGGAGUGUGGCAGAGGAAGGUGGAAUUCCACGUGUAGCGGUGAAAUGCGUAGAGAUGUGGAGGAACACCAAUGGCGAAGGCAGCCUUCUGGGCCAACACUGACGCUCAUGCACGAAAGCGUGGGGAGCAAACAGG